Molecule: ribosomal RNA, 255 nt
Filed under: uncultured bacterium
Lineage: Bacteria
Description: partial 16S ribosomal RNA
Rfam family: Bacterial small subunit ribosomal RNA
Source: RNAcentral
CACGUAGGGUGCGAGCGUUGUCCGGAAUUAUUGGGCGUAAAGAGCUCGUAGGCGGUGUGUCGCGUCGGCCGUGAAAACCUGCAGCUUAACUGUGGGCUUGCGGUCGAUACGGGCAUCACUGGAGUUCGGCAGGGGAGACUGGAAUUCCUGGUGUAGCGGUGAAAUGCGCAGAUAUCAGGAGGAACACCGGUGGCGAAGGCGGGUCUCUGGGCCGAUGACUGACGCUGAGGAGCGAAAGCGUGGGGAGCAAACAGG